Molecule: long non-coding RNA, 494 nt
Organism: Quercus robur (English oak)
Lineage: Eukaryota; Viridiplantae; Streptophyta; Magnoliopsida; Fagales; Fagaceae
Exons: 2
Source: RefSeq, a predicted model, not a curated record
UUUAAAUACUUUGGUUUGAUAGAGGCACAUUUGCAUUAGACGAAAAUUUUGAAGAACGAAGUGGAUUUUAAUCAGAAAGUGUUGAAGCCCAACUGAAGAUUUUUGGCAAAAACAAGUUUGAAGAGAAGCCAGUAACUAUCGACUGUCAUUCACAUAGGCAACAAAGCUCUACAUCAACUUUGACAUUCCAAAAGUCACAAAGGAAAUUAUGCCAAAAGGACCUCCUAAAGGACUGGAUGUAUAACUUUCUUACAUAAUAGAAAAAUAGUUGCUGAAAUAGAAGACUUGGAAGCAUAAAAAAUGCUUAAGAAUUAUGCAACAAGUUCUAUUCUUCAUACCCUUUUCUUAUUUACUUAAUUUUCUGUUUUAUUUCAGAUUAUGAGAGAUUUAAUUUUCUAUAUUUAGGCUAUGGUUUUGUAAUCUGAGCAUCCUAAGACUCUUAUAUCAACAUGAAUUUAAGUUUUGUAAUAUAUGUGAUUCUAAUUUUGAACUUA